CCGCGUGUGUGAAGAAGGCUGCGGGUUGUAAAGCACUUUCAGUGGGGAAGAUAAUGACGUUACCCACAGAAGAAGCACCGGCUAACUCCGUGCCAGCAGCCGCGGUAAUACGGAGGGUGCAAGCGUUAAUCGGAAUUACUGGGCGUAAAGAGUACGUAGGCGGUUUGUUAAGUCGGAUGUGAAAGCCCUGGGCUCAACCUGGGAACUGCAUCCGAUACUGGCAAGCUAGAAUCUGAGAGAGGGGAGUGGAAUUUCCGGUGUAGCGGUGAAAUGCAUAGAGAUCGGAAGGAACACCAGUGGCGAAGCGACUCCCUGGACCAAGAUUGACGCUGAGGUACGAAAGCGUGGGUACAAACAGGAUUAGAUACCCUGGUAGUCCACGCCGUAAACGAUGUCAACUAGCCGUCGGCUUCAUAUAAAAGUCGGUGGUGCACUACGCAUUAGUUGACCGCCUGGGGA
Molecule: ribosomal RNA, 459 nt
Filed under: uncultured bacterium
Lineage: Bacteria
Description: bacterial SSU rRNA
Rfam family: Bacterial small subunit ribosomal RNA
Source: RNAcentral